RNAcentral lists this ribosomal RNA (253 nucleotides) under uncultured bacterium. RNAcentral describes it as "partial 16S ribosomal RNA". It matches the Rfam family "Bacterial small subunit ribosomal RNA", at positions 524 to 776 of the family's 1533-position model. The record is from RNAcentral.
UACAUAGGGGGCAAGCGUUAUUCGGAAUUAUUGGGCGUAAAGGGCGCGUAGGCGGCCUUCUAAGUCGAACGUGAAAUCCCCGGGCUCAACCCGGGAACUGCGUCCGAUACUGGAAGGCUAGAAUCCGGGAGAGGGAUGCGGAAUUCCAGGUGUAGCGGUGAAAUGCGUAGAUAUCUGGAGGAACACCGGUGGCGAAGGCGGCAUCCUGGACCGGUAUUGACGCUGAGGCGCGAAAGCCAGGGGAGCAAACGGG